RNAcentral lists this non-coding RNA (28 nucleotides) under Homo sapiens (human). The record is from RNAcentral. Lineage: Eukaryota; Metazoa; Chordata; Mammalia; Primates; Hominidae.
UCGGAGAAGAGUCAGGCCGCUGAGCUGC